Molecule: transfer RNA, 69 nt
Filed under: Brachymeles boholensis
Lineage: Eukaryota; Metazoa; Chordata; Lepidosauria; Squamata; Scincidae
Description: tRNA-Ala
Rfam family: tRNA
About the family: Transfer RNA (tRNA) molecules are approximately 80 nucleotides in length.
Source: RNAcentral
GAGGCCUUAGCUUAAUUAAAGCGUUUGAGUUGCAAUCAGAAGAUGUAAAUUAAGGUUUUACAUGCCUUA